AAUAUUAAAUAAAUUCUUUGUUAGGAAUGAAUAACAAAAAAUUUAAUAAGUAGUAACCAAUCUCGAGACUACAAGACACAAAUUUAAAAACUUAUCUAUUUUAUCACUUUAAAAAUAAUUGUUAUGGGAUUUGUUUAAAAGUUAUAAAUACUACAAUAUAGUCUACUAUUUUUUUACUAAUCCGUGCAGUCUACUUACUCCAAAGUCGGAUCGUAAUGAAAUAAUGGAUUGUAAUGAUAUUUGCCGUGUUUGCCUUCAAAGAAAUCCGUUGGCGUUUGAUAUAUUCACAUGUUUUUGCUGGGAAAAAAAUAUAGUUUAUGCAGAUAUGUUGUCCUAUUGCACAAAAAUUGUUCCUUCCGAAAACGAUGGUCUUCCUCGUAAUAUAUGUGGUGAUUGUUCUCGUCAUUUGAAACAGGCCUAUUCAUUUAUAGCACAGUAUAUUGUAAAUGACAAAAAGUUGAAAGAUAUUUUAACUACAUCAGUGAUCGAAAGAAACAAUUGUCCCAUUGAAAAAGUUGUACAAAGCUAUGAAAAUGAUUGUAUAAAGAGUGAAUUAGUAUCACAGGCAUCUGAUUCAAUAAUUGCGAUUGAAAAAGAAGAAGAUGAUGAGUUUAAAUCAGAAAUUACCAGUGAUUUUGAAUGUACUGAUGAAUUCAUCCUACCUACAGAUGUGAAGAAAGAGAUAGAAGGUGAUGGCAAUGAAGACGAAUUGGUGCAAAAGAAAAGAGGAAGGAAGAGAAAGGACAAUAAAAGGUCACACACAUUCUUUGAUCGAUCAAAAGCUUUGAGUUCAAAAUCAAACGAUAAAGAUGAUGCUUGCAAUGGCAACAUAGAUAUUGAGAAAUUUGUAGCAGAUAAUAGUGAUAAUAGUAAUGUAAUUAAAGGAGAUGAUGUUAAUGUUGAAAGAGUGAAGAAAAAACGUGGCAGAAAGGCAAAAGAAGUCAAUAAAAGUGUUAAUGGUAAUAUUGUAUGCAACAAUGAACCUGUAUCGUCGCUGAAAGCGAAAACUGUUUCGGAAGGUAAUUUAAGAUAUCCAUAAAAUUGCGGACCAGAAGACACGGAACCCAUCGCGAAACAGAGUUCCCCAGCAAUGCGAGGAGUGCGGAAAGGUGCUCAGCUCCAUGAGCAAUCUGACCACUCACAAGAUAUGCCACACCAACCUGCGACGGUACAAGUGUAGCGAGUGUCCUGCCGCUUUCAAAGGUCACAGUGGCUUAGUACAGCACAGGACUCUUCACACUGGCGAGAAGCCUUACCACUGCGAGUAUUGUUCAAAACAAUUCCGUAGGAAACCAGCCCUCAUCAACCACAUACGAAUGCACAUGGGUGAAAAACUAUACAGCUGUAAGAUUUGUUCGAAGCGCUUCGUGCAAAGUUCCCAGAUGUUUGUUCACAUGAAGCGUCACUCCGGCAUCAAGAGCUAUCUGUGUCAGGAAUGUGGAAAAGGUUUCUACAUAAAGGCUGAUCUGCAAGUCCACCAACGGAUCCACAGCGGUGAGAAGCCGUACUCAUGCUACCUGUGCUCGAAGACGUUCGCCACCUCGGGGAACCUGUCCAUUCACAUCCGGAUACACAACAAGGAAGUUAGAUACAAGUGCAAGUUCUGCGGGCGCGGGUUCGUGACCUGCAGCGCCUUCAACGUGCACGUGAAGCGGCACAAAGGCCAGAAGGACUACCAGUGCGAGUGCGGGAAGAGCUUCUUCACGUCAUCCGCGCUCAAGCAGCACAGGUUGGUGCACUCGGGCGAGCGGCGCUACCAGUGUAAGAUCUGCGAGCGGAAGUUCACGCAGACCAGCCACCUCAACCGUCACUUCCGGCGCGAGCACAGCGCCCCCGGCGCACCACUUCCGGCGGCGCACUUGUACAAGGUGACUCUGCCGAGCGCCGGGGUGUCGACCAUACUGGCCAAGCUCCCUGGCCUGACGUAGUCCUGCGACCAACUUUAACACGGACUGGCGUGUUUUAGUGAUCGUCACGCAUCUUGGAGGGUAAUCAAAUCGUACUAUAUUUGAUCUUCCGUCAAUCUUUUCAAUCUGGACACAUUGUUGCCUAUUUUUAAUAUAACUUUCCAGACAUUUUGAAGUGAUACCUCGAAGCCCAUAUAAAUUACAUUUGUUUAUGAGAAUUUCGAAGUCGACACAGUCAAAAGCUUGGGUCAUAUCAAAGAAUACUGCUGUUACUCUAAUUUUUUGAUCUAUUUUUGUUAUCAGAUUUUUAACUAAUGUAUUUGCGGUCAUUGUGGUAGAUUUAUUUUGUUGAAAUGCGUAUUGUUCCUCUGUAAUGACGCUGAAUUUCAUAAAAAAGUCGGUUAAUCGUUUAUACAUUAUUUUCUCAAAAACUUUUGAUAGAAUAUAAGAUAUAAGAGUUAUUGGUCUAUAAUUAAUAAGUUCCGUAUGAGUACCUUUUUUGUGAAGUGGUUUUAUAAUAGAUGUCUUAAGAGUUGUGGGGAAUUGUCCUUGUUCAAAUGAUAAAUUGAUUAAAUAUGUCAGUACUGAAACUAUUACAUUUUUGCAUGUUUUUAUAUCAUGGGUUGUGUUCCUUUUCUUGUAACCACUGAGCUGCUAGCCUAUUUAUUGUUUGUUUAUAUUUAGUAACAUAGUUGUGGUUAUAUAAUUAAGAACGAUUUGAUUUAGUUGUGUAUGUCUAAAUCAUGUCUUGCGCUAGUUUUAUCAGAAGUAACUAGUUAUGCUAAUAGCCACGUGAAUGUAGCAAACGCAAUUAGGAAAAUAUGUGGAAUACUGUCGCCAACUAUUUUUAACCGACUUCAAAAAGGAGGAGGUUCUCAGUUCGUCGGUAUGUUCUUUUUUUAUGUUUGUUACCUCGAAACUUUCUACUGGGUGAAUCGAUUUUGAUAAUUCUUUUUUUAUUUGAAAGCUGGUGCUUCCCAUUGUAAUUUUGUCCAGAUCUGACAACGGUAUCCAUUAGAAAACCAUAAAAGUCUUAAAUUUGCUAUACAUACGUAUAGCAAAGAGGAUGAUAAAUUUACGAAUAACUCAAUAUCGCGCCAACCGAUUUCGAUGAUUCUUUUUUUAUUGGAAAGGAUAUACUUCAAAGAUAUUUUAGUGAGAGUUUGGUUAGGUUCUGAUUACGGACUCCUCUCCAGAAUUGAAAUUCAUAGGAGCAAAUUAACGAUACUCGGCCGAAUCUUUUUUAUGCUAUCCGGAUAUUUAAGUCACCUAAAAUAACAUAGUUAUGGUCAAGUAAUUGUCGUAGUCGAAUAUGAUGAUCAAUGGGACUCCUUAACGACUUACAGAAAGGUGCGAUCUGUGGCAGAGUUUCUGUUUGUUAUCAAAUUGCAAAGCACUUACGUUCAUUGCUGCAUUGAAAAAUUUAGUAUAUCUACACAUAUUUAGACAAAUUGUUAGUACUUCAAAUUCACUAAAAAUCAUAAAAUAAAUACUUUUAAAACAAAAAGACAACUGACUUCAAAAACACUAUUCCAAAACAAUAGUGUAAUGUGCACUAAAAAGUAUAAAAUUUAAUUGCGUAUUUUUAUACAGUCUAAUUAAUUAAUCUACUUCUAGUUACGAUUAUUGUAAUUUUUGGAUUCGCUGUCAGCCAAGAUAGGUUUGUUACUACAUACAUAGUUAUAGGUGAGAUGUGCUUGAGUCGUGAGGAGGUGAGAGGCGAGAGCGGAAGGACACCGAUUCCAAAAAUUACAAUAAUCAUAACUAGAAUUAUAUUGUAUAAAAAUACGCAAUAUUUUUACACUUUUUAGUGCAUAUUACAUCUAUUGUUUUGGAAUAGUGUUUUUGAAGUCGGUUGUUCUUUUGUUAAAAAAAUUUUAUAACUUAAAAUUCGAACGACCUACAACCAGAGCGACAGAGCGUUCUCUUUUUAAAUAUGAAUUUUAAAAAAUCUAAGUAUGUUAAGUAAUAUUACGUUCAGAUCUGAGUAUAAAGUUUAUGUCUUUAAUUUUAUUACCAAUAAUCUUAGUUUGAAAAUAUCUUCACAAAUAUAAUCGUUUUUUUAAUUAUCUUACCACCACUGUAUAAAUUUAACUAGUUAUGAAUUACCACAAAAAUGUUCUCUAAUUACCCGCUGCGAAUGCACAGGAUAGGUUUCCACUCAGUGUAUAAAGGAGGAAAGCACCGAUGAAUCCUGAUGAUGAAAUAAAAACCAGUGCCCAUCAACAAAUAAAUAAAAACACUUUAAUGGCAUAAGCGUAGAUAGUUUAUACGUCUAGAUAGAGGCCCUUGCUGCUAGAGAACAGAUGAAAACAGGCCAGGAAUAUUAGUUUAGUGUGCGUGACAAGCAACGUCUUACACUCGCGAUUCACUUUGUCUUAGUACGCGAGAUUACAAAGUGAAAUAGAGGUUAUCUGUCAAUCUCAAUUUUUGUCGACGUUUUCACAUGUUUUCUAAGGUCCAAAAUUUUAAUUAAAUUUAUGUUUUCAAUUAUUUCAAUCAAUGUAAAGAUAUGUGACGACACUAAUCGAGCGUCGAGGUAUUAAUAGUCUGUAAGAUUAAAUUUAUAUUUAAAAUUACACUGAUUACAGUUAUUUUGUAAGUAUAAAUAAUAUGAAACUCCA
Leptidea sinapis is the source of this 4531-nucleotide RNA transcript. It is a transcript of the gene named zinc finger protein ZFP2-like, with no coding region annotated. Lineage: Eukaryota; Metazoa; Arthropoda; Insecta; Lepidoptera; Pieridae. The transcript has 14 exons. The record is from RefSeq and is a predicted model, not a curated record.